AUUCUUCACCACCAAUACUAUCCAACCUGUGUUGAAGUGAGUGGGGGAUGGUUGUUUUCGCCAGAGAUUUCAUUUCUCCGUCGAAACAGCCAACCAGCACUCCAUAGUAAAUUCCACAUCAAAACACACCGACCCUGAUCUUUGUAUCGCCUCAAAACUAUACAACAAACAAAACAGUAACACAACUGUUGGCAACGGAUCACUCGGCUCUCGUGUCGAUGAAGAGCGUAGCGAAUUGCGAAAAGUAAUGCGAUCUGCAACCAUCGUGAAUCAUUGAAUUCUUGAACGCACCUGGCACCUUUUGGGUCUUCCAAAAGGUCAGCCUGGGUGAGUAUUGACUUGUUAAUUUCAGGUGAAAACUUGGAUGUGGGCCUAUUUGCUGCCUCGCAGUAAUGGCCUGAAAUGGAUACGCCAGUGGGAAGGUAGUGCUUAUUCUACUCAACCAGACUCUUGCGUUUGCCUCGGAUGUUUUCAAUCGGACCAUAGUCAGGUCUGUUGCUGUGCCUUGCGCGCAGGGAACAUCGGAUACGGCUGCAAUUGACUGGGGAAUUGGCCAGUGCAUCUCGCACGCUUUCCCUUGCUGUUUUCAGCUACAUUUGGCACGACGUUGGCUGCUUCCUCGGAAUCAGUCGGCAUGGUAUGCAGACCCCCGGCUUUUGCCCAACUCUUCACACCAACGACCACCUUUCAUCAUCAAUCUCACCUCAGGCUGGACUACCCGCUGAACUUAAGCAUAUCAAUAAGCGGAGGAAAAGAAACCAACAGGGAUUCCCCUAGUAACGGCGAGUGAAGCGGGAAGAGCUCAAAUUGGGAAUCGGGUCGUGCAUGUAGCCGCGGUCCCGACGUGUCAUUUGAUGAACUAUGGUUCGGCAGCGGCCUGGGUCAAAGUCCUCUGGAAAGGGGCGUCAUGGAGGGUGAUAAUCCCGUCUAUGGCCCAUGAGAGCCCGUCUGUCAUCCUGUGAGCCUGGUUCGGCGAGUCGGGUUGUUUGGGAAUGCAGCCCAAAGCGGGUGGUAAACUCCAUCUAAGGCUAAAUACUGGCGAGAGACCGAUAGCGAACAAGUACCGUGAGGGAAAGUUGAAAAGCACUCUGAAGAGAGAGUCAAACAGUACGUGAAAUUGCCAACAGGGAAACGAUGGGCGUCAGUACGCGCCUUGAGCGGGAUCAAAUGUGGGCUAUGGUGCCGGGUUUGCCAUGCUGAGCUGUCAAAAGCCAGUGGGUGGAUGUUGGCGCGGUAUACAGCAUUGUACUCUCUGCUCAUGGGCGGGUCAACAUCGGUUGGAAGCGGGUGAUACGGAUUGAGGCAAGGUGUUUGUAGUUUCGGCUGCAAAUCUUAUAGGCCUCGACUCCUAGCCUGGUUUCGACCGAGGAAACAGUCGCGGCAAGUGCUCUCUUUUGGGCGGGGUGUGUGUGAGAGUGGAGGCUGGCGGUGGGGAAACAGCCUGGCUGAUUCUCUGCUUAGCCGACACCCACUACUCCCACUCUACUACCAACUUGCCAAGGAUGUUGACGAAAUGGCGCUCAACGACCCGUCUUG
RNAcentral lists this ribosomal RNA (1536 nucleotides) under uncultured fungus. Its description in RNAcentral is "eukaryotic LSU rRNA". The stretch from base 695 to 1536 matches the Rfam family "Eukaryotic large subunit ribosomal RNA", at positions 1 to 656 of the family's 3401-position model. Lineage: Eukaryota; Fungi. The record is from RNAcentral.